GCCAGGCACAGUGGCUUGUGCCUGUAGUCCCGGCUACACAGGAGGCUGUGGUGGGAGAAUCGCUUGAGCCCAGGAGUUCUGGGCUGUACUGCAUUAUGCCAAUUGGGUGUCUGCACUAAGUUCGGCAUCAAUAUGAUGACCUCCCAGGAGCGGGGGACCACCAGGUUGCCUAAGGAGGGAACUGGCCCAGGUUAGAAAUGGAGCAGGUCAAAACUCCCAUGCUGAUCAGUAGUGGGAUCGUGACUGUGAACAGCCACUGCACUCCAGCUUGGGCAACAUGGCAAGAACUCAUCUCU
This 296-nucleotide signal recognition particle RNA is filed under the name Aotus nancymaae (Ma's night monkey). Its description in RNAcentral is "Metazoan signal recognition particle RNA (ENSANAG00000009679.1)". It matches the Rfam family "Metazoan signal recognition particle RNA". From Rfam's summary of the family: The signal recognition particle (SRP) is a universally conserved ribonucleoprotein. It is involved in the co-translational targeting of proteins to membranes. The eukaryotic SRP consists of a 300-nucleotide 7S RNA and six proteins: SRPs 72, 68, 54, 19, 14, and 9. The record is from RNAcentral. Lineage: Eukaryota; Metazoa; Chordata; Mammalia; Primates; Aotidae.